GCCCCUAUCGUCUAGUGGACUAGGACGCGGCCCUUUCAAGGCCACGACCGGGGUUCGAAUCCCCGUAGGGGCA
Molecule: transfer RNA, 73 nt
Filed under: Anaerolineales bacterium
Lineage: Bacteria; Bacillati; Chloroflexota; Anaerolineae; Anaerolineales
Description: tRNA-Glu
Rfam family: tRNA
About the family: Transfer RNA (tRNA) molecules are approximately 80 nucleotides in length.
Source: RNAcentral